RNAcentral lists this ribosomal RNA (253 nucleotides) under uncultured bacterium. RNAcentral's name for it is "partial 16S ribosomal RNA". It matches the Rfam family "Bacterial small subunit ribosomal RNA", at positions 524 to 776 of the family's 1533-position model. The record is from RNAcentral.
UACAGAGGGGGCAAGCGUUGUUCGGAAUUACUGGGCGUAAAGGGCGCGUAGGUGGCCUUCUAAGUUGAACGUGAAAUCCCUGGGCUCAACCCAGGAACUGCGUCCAAGACUGGGAGGCUUGAAUCCGGGAGAGGGAUGCGGAAUUCCAGGUGUAGCGGUGAAAUGCGUAGAUAUCUGGAGGAACACCGGUGGCGAAGGCAGCAUCCUGGACCAAUACUGACGCUGAGGAGCGAAAGCCAGGGGAGCAAACGGG